GUAGGAGUGAGCCUGCUCGCGAUGGCGGUGUGUCAGCCAGUUUGAUGUCACUGACCCACCACCAUCGCGAGCAGGCUCACUCCUAC
This 86-nucleotide non-coding RNA is filed under the name Pseudomonas sp. SJZ131. Lineage: Bacteria; Pseudomonadati; Pseudomonadota; Gammaproteobacteria; Pseudomonadales; Pseudomonadaceae. The record is from RNAcentral.